CUCACACAAGCGGUGGAGGAUGUGGCUUAAUUCGAGGCUACGCGAAGAACCUUAUCCUGGUCUUGACAUAGUUAGGAAUUUUCGUGAAAGCGAGAAGUGCCCUUCGGGGAGCCUUUUUACAGGUGCUGCAUGGCUGUCGUCAGCUCGUGUCGUGAGAUGUCGGGUUAAGUCCCUUAACGAGCGAAACCCUUAUCCUUAGUUGCCAGCGAGUAAUGUCGGGGACUCUAGGGAGACUGCCGGUGUGAAACCGGAGGAAGGUGGGGAUGACGUCAAGUCCUCAUGGCCUUUAUGACCAGGGCUGCACACGUCCUACAAUGGUGCAUAUAAAGGGAAGCGAACUCGCGAGGGUAAGCAAACCCCAAAAAGUGUACCUCAGUUCGGAUUGCAGGCUGCAACUCGCCUGCAUGAAGCCGGAAUCGCUAGUAAUCGUGGGUCAGCAUACCACGGUGAAUAUGUUCCUGAGCCUUGUACACACCGCCCGUCAAGCCACGAAAGUGGGGUGCACGCGAAGUCGCCAGGCCAACCCGCAAGGGAGGCAGGCGCCGAACGUGAAUUCCGCGAUUGGGACUAAGUCGUAACAAGGUA
This 585-nucleotide ribosomal RNA is filed under the name uncultured bacterium. Its description in RNAcentral is "bacterial SSU rRNA". It matches the Rfam family "Bacterial small subunit ribosomal RNA", at positions 920 to 1498 of the family's 1533-position model. The record is from RNAcentral.